AAUAGCCGAAAAUGACCCCAGGGUUAAGAGUAGGAGAGGUAAUCUGUCUGAGCUGGUGCGUUAAGGGAUCAUAAAUUCCUCCCCAGAACAUCGCCUUGAAAACCAGAGCCAAAGCCGCAACCCCCAAUAAGGUCAAGUGAAUACCCAAUAUAGUCGUCAUUUUAUUGGAAUCGUCCCA
This 178-nucleotide antisense RNA is filed under the name Gloeocapsa sp. PCC 73106. RNAcentral's name for it is "Antisense RNA which regulates isiA expression". It matches the Rfam family "Antisense RNA which regulates isiA expression". Lineage: Bacteria; Bacillati; Cyanobacteriota; Cyanophyceae; Chroococcidiopsidales; Chroococcidiopsidaceae. The record is from Rfam by way of RNAcentral.